This 73-nucleotide transfer RNA is filed under the name Togoperla sp. KW-2014. RNAcentral describes it as "tRNA-Val". It matches the Rfam family "tRNA". Rfam says of the family: Transfer RNA (tRNA) molecules are approximately 80 nucleotides in length. Lineage: Eukaryota; Metazoa; Arthropoda; Insecta; Plecoptera; Perlidae. The record is from RNAcentral.
CGGGGUAGAGCUUGAGGUAGUUAAGCACUUCAUUUACACUGGAGAUUUAUUUGUGCAAAUCAGAUUGUCCCGA